CUACGGAGGGUGCAAGCGUUACUCGGAAUCACUGGGCGUAAAGCGCGCGCAGGCGGGCUGAUAAGUUGGAUGUGAAAGCCUACGGCUCAACCGUAGAACUGCAUCCAAAACUGUCAGUCUAGAGUGUGGGAGAGGAAGAUGGAAUUAGUUGUGUAGGGGUAAAAUCCGUAGAGAUAACUAGGAAUACCAAAAGCGAAGGCAAUCUUCUGGAACACUACUGACGCUGAGGCGCGAAAGCGUGGGGAGCAAACAGGAUUAGAAACCCUAGUAGUCC
Molecule: ribosomal RNA, 274 nt
Filed under: uncultured bacterium
Lineage: Bacteria
Description: partial 16S ribosomal RNA
Rfam family: Bacterial small subunit ribosomal RNA
Source: RNAcentral